UUGAAUUUCUUUAAAUGUAAAGUAGACCUAUCGAGAUAGAAUUGUGAGUGUGGGGGAAAACUGUACUAAUUAAAUGCGUAUUUCAAGUACAACGCGAAUAAGUAAUGUUUUAAUGAACAUGUCAAAGACAUUCAGAUGAUUGCUCGACAGCGCUAGUGUCGGCCAAAGAAUGAAGGUGAUUAAGGUAGCCAUUUUGUUUGUGAGGUUGGUGUGAUGUGAAAGAGUAUUGGAGCUUAUUUUACAGCNUUGUAACGAUUUAAAAAUUAAAAAGCGAUAAAAUCUCUUUGAGUAAUGUGGUCGAAAAAUAUAUCGGCAUAAGAUCUUGCAGGUAAAAGGAAAGUGCCAAUGCAGUGUUGGCCGACAGCGGGAUACGUAAUUUUGUCGUGCGAGACAAACUCAGCACAAUGUGCAGACUAAAGAAGAGGUUUGAGAUAUGCAACGAUAUAUACAGACCAGUACACAAGGAGCAGUUUGCACUGGGAUCUGUACCCACAGCCACAAGACUAAUUACAUUUUGCUUGAACCUAAGGUUAUGCAGGAAGCAAUCAGUUUUUCCAGCUGGUUACUGUAGAAUGUGCAAGUGCCAUUACACAAUGUAAAAGUAUUGGUGUUGUACGUACUUUAUGCACGGACAUGAAGAAUCUAUUUACUUGAGAACUGAAGAAUUUGCUACGAGCCUUGAGUCAUGCUUAAAGACAGAUGGGGCACUGUUCUAACAGUUUUUAUAGAAUGUGAUAAGUUUGUGUUGGGACCGGGGAAACUUGUUACCCUGCACUUGCAAGCAGCAAAUUUCCAUCUCAGCCGAAAGCCCACUAGCAGUAUGAGGCUUCUAAUUUAAAUCUUCUGGCCUCUUUCUUUGUUAACAGUUCCUAAGAGACGUUUGUAUUCACUGGUUGGUGCCCACUGUUCUUUUAUUGUGGAGCAGUGAGAAUGGAAGUAGUGUCACCCUCACCUUCAAGGAGUUCAUGAACUUCAGGCUGAAGAUGGACAGUCUCAAAGUUUCUGCCAUGACUACAGGAAAAAUGCUUCAUAAUACAGGCCGGGGCUGUGCAAGCGACAGUGUAAAGUGCUGUACCAGAUGCUGAGAGUUGUCCGUGGCACCACUGUACACCGUGUUGACUUCACACUGAGGAAGAGUAGUGCAUCGUGCAUAUGAAGUACAGCAGGAUAUGUGUAUCGUGGCAAGAGCUGCAGCUCACUGUAUUGUCUGAAGUUGGAAAGUACACAGAGGAUGCUAGAGGAAGACAGAUACAAUGAACUCUUGCUAAUCUAGAUUAAUUGGGCGGAUAGGUCGUCUGGUUAAGUGAUGAUCUGGACUAGUGUAGCAAAGGGUAGCCCUAAAA
Long non-coding RNA from Cryptotermes secundus, 1343 nucleotides. RefSeq lists it as uncharacterized. The transcript has 2 exons. Lineage: Eukaryota; Metazoa; Arthropoda; Insecta; Blattodea; Kalotermitidae. The record is from RefSeq and is a predicted model, not a curated record.